AGAAAGAGGUCCAAGAGGAAAAGGCUAGAGUUGAGUAUUGGGAGAGGAAGUUCCAAGAAAUGCAGUCGCAGAAUUUAGCAUUAGAAGAAGAGAAUAAAGGGUUGAAGACUAAGGUAACUGAGCUUGGAAGAUCCCUACGUUGGCACCGAAACCAUUAUCCUAUGGUCAAGGUAGAGGAGCUAAAAAGUAAGGUUGAAGAUUUGGAAGUGGUAUUACAUGAUGGUGAACUGCGGAUUGAGCAG
This 242-nucleotide long non-coding RNA is filed under the name Gossypium barbadense (sea-island cotton). RNAcentral describes it as "long non-coding RNA (GBAR_LNC004662)". The record is from RNAcentral. Lineage: Eukaryota; Viridiplantae; Streptophyta; Magnoliopsida; Malvales; Malvaceae.